UGUUAACUACUUUACCUUAGG
Molecule: non-coding RNA, 21 nt
Filed under: Caenorhabditis elegans
Lineage: Eukaryota; Metazoa; Nematoda; Chromadorea; Rhabditida; Rhabditidae
Source: RNAcentral